GAUCCGCACACAUUGGAAUUUCGCUAACUCCUCCGAAGGCUUUCGUUCCAAAGGCACCACAUUUGCUCAGGUCAAUCUACACCCCAUGGCCAUUCAAAGUUGUACAACUCAUGACGCUGCACCCCACAGUUUACGUUCUAGGGGGCGCCAAAGAGGACCCAAAUAUCCACAUUUUUAAAAGUCUUAUAACUUUUUAUUUUUGUCCUCACUGGCCUCCAAGUUUUCUAGGAUGAUGCAAUGUCCAGCCAUCAACACAUUUGUGAAGGAAUUUUUUCUCCCCAAAAGAGCGCCCCCCAUGGCAGGAGAAAAAGUCAAGUUUUUCCUGCCCAUCGCUCAAUGGCUCAAACGCAUCGCUCUCUCUGCAAAACCGAAAGGAGGAGCAACUUGCCAUUUGGAUAUAUACUAGCUGUGUUUGUGCCCUCACUCAUGGUCCAGACUUUUUUCAAAUAGGACAUGUAGUUUGUCUGCAGCGAGCGUUUUGGUAGAAACUGCGCCUCCCAUUCGUUAUAAUGGGAAAUGACCACAGACAAGUGCGCACACCAUCUUUGGACCUUGAGUGUGACGCGAUCGGGAGGGGGAGGCGGUCGCGCUGGGGGCGGCGCGACGCGGCUCGGGCCCGACAGUGCCCCACCGGGGCCCUAGUUAGGGCCCGAGCGUAGCUGCUAAGCAGCUGCGAGAGCCCUAUUAUUCCUGAUGGAUUCUUCUUUCUUCUUCUUCUUCUUAUUAUUUUUCUGCCCCUUUGAACUGGAAAAUGGCCCACUUCCCACUGGUGAAAAGUCAUGAAAUUUGGCAGGACGACCGGGCCUGGUGAAAAAUUCGAUAUUCUGAAGUCGCCCAAACAAUCAAAUGCAAAAUGGCUCCAUAGCGCCCCCUAAGGUGAAAAAUUCACAUGAUUGAGUGUCACGCCUGUACGCUUUGUCAAAAUGACACAAAAUUUGACACACACGUGUAUCUCAAUAAGAUCUACAAAAAAGUCAGUGCGGGCGUAUCUGUCAAAUGUACGGUUAAAGGGCUAUUUCGCAUUUUUUGCCGAUCCGCACACAUUGGAAUUUCGCUAACUCCUCCGAAGGCUUUCGUUCCACCGGCACCAAAUUUGCUCAGGCCAAUCUACACCCCAUGGCCAUUAAAAGUUGUACAAAUCGUGACGCUGCAUCCCACGGUUUACGUUCUAGGGGGCGCCAAAGAUAACCCAGAAAUCCACAUUCUUAAAAGUCGUAUAACUUUUUAUUUUUGUCCUCACUGGCCUCCAAGUUUUCUAGGAUGAUGCAAUGUCCAGCCAUCAACACAUUUUUGAAGGAAUUUUUACUCCCCAAAAGAGCGCCCCCCCAUGGCAGGAGAAAAAAGUCCAUUUUUUCUUGUCUCCUAAGGCGAAAAUUCACACUAUUGACUGUCACGCCUUUACGCUUUGUCAUAUUGACACAAAAAUUGACACACACAUGUAUCUCAAUAAGAUCUACAAAAAAGUCAGUGCGGGCGUAUCUGUCAAAUGUACGGUGAAAGGGCUAUUUCGCAUUUUUUGCCGAUCCGCACACAUUGGAAUUUCGCUAACUCCUCCGAAGGCUUUCGUUCCAAAGGCACCACAUUUGCUGAGGCCAAUCUACACCCCAUGGCCAUUAAAAGUUGUACAAAUCAUGACGCUGCACCCCACGGUUUACGUUCUAGGGGGCGCCAAAGAUAACCCAAAAAUCCACAGUCUUAAAAGUCUUAUAACUUUUUAUUUUUGUCCUCACUGGCCUCCAAGUUCUCUAGGAUGAUGCAAUGUCCAGCCAUCAACACAUUUGUGAAGGAAUUUUUACUCGCCAAAAGAGCGCCCCCCCAUGGCAGGAGAAAAAAGUCCAUUUUUUCUUGUCUCCUAAGGCGAAAAUACACAUUGUUGACUGUCACGCCUUUACGCUUUGUCAAAAUGACACAAAAUUUGACACACACAUGUAUCUCAAUAAGAUCUACAAAAAAGUCAGUGCGGGCGUAUCUGUCAAAUGUACGGUUAAAGGGUUAUUUCGCAUUUUUUGCCGAUCCGCACACAUUGGAAUUUCGCUAACUCCUCCUAAAUCUUUUGUCCCAUCGGCUUCAAAUUUGCUCAGGUCAAUCUACACCCCAUGGCCAUUCAAAGUUGUACAAAUCAUGACGCUGCACCCCACAGUUUACGUUCUAGGGGGCGCCAAAGAGGACCCAAAUAUCCACAUUUUUAAAAGUCUUAUAACUUUUUAUUUUUGUC
This is a non-coding RNA of Xyrichtys novacula (pearly razorfish), 2215 nucleotides long. NCBI's taxonomy places the organism in Eukaryota, Metazoa, Chordata, Actinopteri, Labriformes, Labridae. The record is from the annotation of a GenBank genome assembly.